Long non-coding RNA from Lycium barbarum (goji berry), 2808 nucleotides. RefSeq lists it as uncharacterized. Lineage: Eukaryota; Viridiplantae; Streptophyta; Magnoliopsida; Solanales; Solanaceae. The record is from RefSeq and is a predicted model, not a curated record. The transcript has 6 exons.
ACUUCUGAGAUUGACAUAAAAGAUUCCAUGAGUAUAGCGAUACGUAGAUUGUUCUUGACUAGAUAUAUUUUUUCCACAAUGCAAACAUUGAUGAUAUUGCAACAACAAGAUCUUGCUAUUUUCAUGUUGGGACUAUGAAAUCUGAUGAAUAAUAUUAUUGAUUGAAGAGCAACCAAUAUUUCAGGACUAUGGAAUCCGGCUUGAUAGAGUGGAAAGAAACAAGAUUAAAUAACUUUAUAUGUGCAUAAAAUUCUUUAUGUGCAAUUAGUUUGUAGUUUAAUCUUUUGUCAUUAACGCCAACUUCACCUUGCAAGCUUCCAUCAGUGCUGAAAAGACAGCAUUGGAGCAGAAGAUGUAAGCAAGCUGAUGCGCCAUUUGGAUGAAAAAAACAAGCUUUAGGAAAGUGGUGCCUUCAUUUGGCAAUAAAACUCCCCCAAUGGUCAUGAAAGAGCUUCAUCCUGGAACGACUUGUGUUAUUAGCAGCAUUUGUUAACUACUAUGCACAGCUGCCAAAAUACAGAUUCCAACCCGUUGCAACAUUUGAGCAUGCUCGCUCCGAAGUAGAAAUUUACUUUUUCUAAUAGAAUAAAGUAACAGGUAGAAUUAAUGUGAUGAUUAUGCAGAAACAACAUCAGAUAGAGAGUAUUCUAAGGAUGUCAAAUGAAUAAUGAGUCCUCAAAAAUUGUGAGAAUUCUUGCAUCUAAGUCAUUUCCUUUCAGGAUUGAAUGUCUUCAAUUUUUCUUUUCAGGUCAUGAAAGAGCUUCAUCCUGGAACGACUUGUGUUAUUAGCAGCAUUUGUUAACUACUAUGCACAGCUGCCAAAAUACAGAUUCCAACCCGUUGCAACAUAUCUCAUACAUAUGUUGGACCACCUACAAUCUCACUGUUUUUGCCUUUUUAGCAAGCUCCCUCUAUAACUUUAUUCCGCAAAUAAAUGUAAUAUACUAUGAAGCAUAUUAUGUCAAUAUGUAGUUUAAUCAUGUCUCAUUAGUAAAAAUGCCUGUGCCUUGCACGGGCCCAACACUUCGGAUUAGUGAUGGUUUAAGUGAUAAGAGAAGACAAUUUAGAGGAACAUCAUAAUGAUAAUUUAUAAGGCUAAUGAAACUGAAGUAUAGUCUUUGUUUCAGAACUUUAAUGUUUGCCAACUCAAGAUUCAUAUUUGUAUUUCUCUUUUCCAUGACAAAUUUCAUUAGCUUAAUAGUACAGUUCCUUUGUUGGUAAUCAAUAUUUGUUGGGUAUUUAUAUUAGUGUUCAGUACUUUUAGUAAGUAAUAUUACUUGAUCUUUUUGUUGUUGGAUUUUCUACAGGUUGCUUGUGCAUGUUUGAAACUAGAUGCAUAGGUGCAACCUUUUGAGAAGUACCGAAAAUUUGAUUCAAAUAAAUUAUGUUUAUGGACAGGGUGACACUUGGCUAAAUAAGAAGCUUAAAUGACUUGGCUGGCAAGUGACAACUAUAUGAAAAUGGCCAUUCACAGUAAGCGUGGGUUAGGAGAAUGGAUUGACAUGGUGCCUUAUGUGUCAAUAAAUUUACAAUCAAGGGCAAUUUAGAGAUUCAAGGCAGGCUUAUUUAGGUUAGUUUACGUGUCAACAACCCUCCAACUGUCACUUUCUUCUCACAGAACUCAUCUGUGUGCCGACUGCCUCUCCGAUGUUCAAAACCCCGAACACCACACUCCUUUUCACCUCACACACUCCCAUUCCACCUUCCCACAAAGGCGUUCGAGGUGUUCACAAAAUCCGACAAAACGGAGAAGCCAGGUUUGUCUCAAAGGGUACCAAAGGAGAUUCCAACCAUUGAUAUUCCUCUCAGGGUAAGUUCACAGUUUUCCAUAUCCUUUAAACUUGGGUACAUCAUUCAUGUUCUUUGAUUGUCGUUUAUCUCGACUCUUUUAUGACAUUUUGAUCAAUGAAUUUUGUUCUGUUAGUUUGUUGGAGAGAUUGCACAAGCAAUGUGUUUUUUAUUUUAACUAUAUAGAAGCGUGGGUUAGGAGAAUGGAUUGACAUGGUGCCUUAUGUGUCAAUAAAAUUACAAUCAAGUGCAAUUUAGAGAUUCAAGGCAGGCUUAUUUAGGUUAGAUUACGUGUCAACAACCCUCCAGCUGUCACUUUCUUCUCACAGAACUCAUCUCUGUGCCGACUGCCUCUCCGAUGUUCAAAAACCCGAACAUCACACUCCUUUUCACCUCACACACUCCCAUUCCACCUUCUCACAAAGGCGUUCGAGGCGUUCACAAAACGGAGAAGCCAGGUUUGUCUCAAAGGGUACCAAAGGAGAUUCCAACCAUUGAUAUUCCUCUCAGGUUUGUUGGAGAGAUUGCACAAGAUAUUACACAUGUUGGAUAGGAUAAAUAAAGCUUAUGUGGAUGAGAACCAUAAGCCACGGUGGCCUCUGCUGCCUCACUCACUUUUGGAAGUUUUUGAACCAAAGUAAACAUCAAACUGCUAUCUUUUUGCAAAAUUGCACUGCCUGUUUUGAAAGCUGGAUUCCCGAAGAACAAAGAAUAUAUGCAACGCACAAUACUUUAACAAGCCUCUCCAGGUAUUUUUUCAACCACGCAUCACACAGCUACAACGUUAACUGCGAAGAACAAGAUGACUGCCAGCGGCAUAGUCGGUAGUUGUGUUACUAUAUUGCCUUUUGCUGCUACCGGCUUCUAUCAAUAUAUAACUAAUGUGUGUAUGCAUAGACAUGCAAUCAUCAAUGUGUAUAUAAACAUUAUGUUUUAGUUGUGCAAUACCUUCUUCUGUCAAACUGUUAAUAAUGUGUAUGUUUAUAUAUAUAUAAACCGUUUAAACGAUAUGCUUCAAUU